Molecule: long non-coding RNA, 1710 nt
Organism: Phlebotomus papatasi
Lineage: Eukaryota; Metazoa; Arthropoda; Insecta; Diptera; Psychodidae
Exons: 5
Source: RefSeq, a predicted model, not a curated record
UCACGCCACCUUUCAACCCGGCCAGUGCCGAGUGUGACGCGAGCGAGAGAGGAAAGGUGACAUCGCGACCCGUGACGUGUCAAGUCGUGUUCCCAAAUCGGUGCGUUUUUUGUCUUUUAUCUUUCUUGUCUUCUAAAUCUAAUGAUUCUUCCGGAUAUCUCAGGUAGUGUGUGAUUGUUUUUUUCGGAGUCAGUGUGAAGAAAAGUGAGACACUGAUUGUAGGACGUUUUGGAGACAAGGUGGACAGUAUCCUGUCCGUCACUGUGGAGUGGGAAGUACUGGAAAACCCAGAAAACUCUGAUUUGUAUCUUCACUGAAUUCUCCCAUCAAACCACCUAAUUAUCACCAUCCCAUCAGUCUUCAACAGAAGAAUCUCAGGCAUCACAGGAAGCGACACUAUCAGAAAAUUUUGGUCGACUAUUAGGGAGGUGUUAAAAUUAAUGCCAGAGUUGCUACUCUUUGAUUUUGAGUCACAAUAUGGUCCAAAAACUGUUCGUGUUAAACUGACGUCACUUCUUCAGAAAAUUGACAAGGAAUACCCUUUGUUACCCGAUGCCAGACAGAAAAGGAACAACGAAAUCAUUGAUGAGUGGACGACAUCGGUCCAGGGAUUUUUGAAAGUCCUUUCGUUUUUCCCACCUGUGAACACUGAUGCGAACAAGCAAAAAGCAACUGUUAAGGACUCCUUGUCGUCUUUUAUAAUAUUCUCCCAUAUUAUAAAAGAUUAUGGGAAAGGCUUUCUUCGGAAAUAAUGGACGAUAUUAAUAAGAGGUGAAGGAAUACAAUUCUUCGCGGAUGGUUCCAACAAAAAGGUCCUUUCAAACUUCUACUUGAAGGUGGACGAUCUCAUCUGGAAGAUCAAAGCUACAGAUUUUAUUGAUGCAUUUGAUUUCAUUUUUAAAGUUCAUUUCGCUCUCAACAUUGAUUUUAAAAAAUGCCACUCCAAUUUCUUAUAAGUUUAUUCAUCAUUACAUUUAUGGAAUUUCUCUCCAAAAGAUACCAGUUUCUUUAAAAUCUGUAGCAGCCCAUUAUAAUCUAAACUGAAAAAAUCAAUUGAUAAUGCAAUAAUGUAACUAAAAAUCUUGACCCUCUAAAUUCGAUUAAGUCACCCAAAACUUCUCGUUCUUAACCCUUUAAGGACGAGACAUUUUUUACGGACCGAAAAUCGUCAAUAAAAAUUAAACCGGUAAACGUCUUACCUCUAACCUUGGAAAGUCCAACAGAGCCUUAUUUGGUGUAUUUUUCACCUCUACGAACGAUAGGGACAAAAAUAGUCAAAAAGUUAAAGUAAUUUUUCUGAUGAUAUCAAUUAUUGAUUAAUUGUCGCUCUAAUGAAAAAUAUUACGUUUGAGUAUUGUAGUUUUUAUUCCCAAAAUGGUUUUGCUUAAAAAUAAUUGGAAGUAUAAAAAAUAAUUAAAAUCAAUUUUCAAUAACUAUGAGAAUUUAAUUCGCCAUUUUUUAGCUUAAAAAUUUACUACAUAGCAAAUAGCUAGAGACUUGCAAAAAAUAUUCUAGAUUCCUUCAACCUUUUACUUUACAAUUAUGUACAGACAUAAGCAAAAAAUAACUUUAGGUAGUCAGGAAAAAUUAUUUUCUUUAUAGGACACCGGUGUUCCAAUCGACCUUAAAGGGUUAAAAGAUUAAUUCAAUUAAGCAAUGUAUGAAAAUAAAAUAAAAUUGUCUUUGUAAUAAAGUAGAAUUUAAAAGGGC